This 80-nucleotide non-coding RNA is filed under the name Agathobacter rectalis. Its description in RNAcentral is "Eubacterium rectale ZTP sequence". It matches the Rfam family "ZMP/ZTP riboswitch aptamer (pfl RNA motif)". From Rfam's summary of the family: Previously known as pfl RNA. RNAcentral also lists the same sequence under 1 other name. The record is from RNAcentral. Lineage: Bacteria; Bacillati; Bacillota; Clostridia; Lachnospirales; Lachnospiraceae.
AACGUGUUAUAUGACUGACGGAUAAGUGGAAUAACCACAUGAAAUAUAACAAAUAAGAGCCGACCGUCUGGGCGAUAAAC